Non-coding RNA from Rattus norvegicus (Norway rat), 1157 nucleotides. The record is from RefSeq and is a predicted model, not a curated record. Lineage: Eukaryota; Metazoa; Chordata; Mammalia; Rodentia; Muridae.
GGCAUCGGCCUCUUUCUGCUCAAGCUCUUCUAUGUGCUCAGGGGUGGUACAAGCUUUUAAAAGUCCCAGGCAGUGGUCAGACCACGCACACUCUCCUGGCAUCCCCAUCCUCUCUCAGGACUUAUGGUGCCAGAGCGGUUAUCGCAGGAGUUUUGAUGCUGCUGUGGACUGUCCAUCGAGCCCUGCUUUCUGAGCCUCCCAUGUCCACCCUGUUCCUGUCCAGGUUCCUGGCUGUCACAUUUCUGCACGAUGGUGAACAAGUUUGUUUUUCUGAUUCUCAUAACAAGAAAAGGUUAAGACUAAACUAUCUAAUCUUCAACCCCAUCCAAGAUCUGAGGAGGAGAAACGUUGCCUGAGUAAAACGAAAAUCAGAGCAAACAGCUUCCAAAUCUAAAGAAAUGACAGAAAUUGUUGGCUACCCUGACAGUCAGUCAGCAAAUAUUCCUGUGUCACUGUGGCAUCCACCUUCAACUCACUGGGCCAGGAGCUCUAACAACAAUCCUUUGAAGCAGGUCACUUGAAGGACUAUCCUAUUUUUUUUUCCAAAAACUGGGACAACAGACUUCCCCAUGAUCAACUUCUGCACAGCCUGGACAGCUUUCUGGCAGCAGUAGAGAGCAGCCUGGAGGAAGACACUCAUCUGACAAUGUGGCCAUCUCAAGACAGGCCCUGACAAUGGCUGAAGACUUGACUGAAGACUGGAAAUGAAGGCCCCUCUGACUACGAUGUACUCUAAGGACAGUUUAUUCAGGUGAUCCUGUCCACCUAAUACAGCACAUCAUGUGGAAUAACAGAAGCCACCUGCAGGAGCUGCGGUGAUGACUCACAGGUUAGAGAAUCUGCUGCUCUCUCAGAAGAACCACAUGGUCCCGAACAAUCAUCUACAACAGGGAAUGUCAUUCCUUCUUUUGGACUAUGAGUGAAAUGCACCCAGGACAGGGCACAGACAUACAGUAGAAAAAAAAAAAGACCCAUUGACAUAAAUGAUAAAACUAAGUCUAAUCUGCAACAAUAAAAACACAGCACACUUAUGGUCAAGGACAAGAGCGUGUAUCAAAACCUAUUUCCCAACACGACUCUGAAGGUCAGUAUCUCUGGGGUUAAUAUUGAUGCUGUAGUGCAAGAAAAGCUGAGGGGUUGGGGAUUUAGCUCAGUGG